GGCGGUGUAGCUCAGCUGGUUAGAGCGUUCGGUUCAUACCCGAAAGGUCGGGGGUUCGAUUCCCUCCACCGCUACCA
RNAcentral lists this transfer RNA (77 nucleotides) under Brevibacillus sp. BC25. RNAcentral's name for it is "tRNA-Met". It matches the Rfam family "tRNA". From Rfam's summary of the family: Transfer RNA (tRNA) molecules are approximately 80 nucleotides in length. Their secondary structure includes four short double-helical elements and three loops (D, anti-codon, and T loops). Lineage: Bacteria; Bacillati; Bacillota; Bacilli; Caryophanales; Paenibacillaceae. RNAcentral also lists the same sequence under 1 other name. The record is from RNAcentral.